CAGAGCCACGGGAAUACAGAGGGUGCGAGCGUUAAUCGGAUUUACUGGGCGUAAAGCGUGCGUAGGUGGCUUUUUAAGUCGGAUGUGAAAUCCCUGAGCUUAACUUAGGAAUUGCAUUCGAUACUGGGAAGCUAGAGUAUGGGAGAGGAUGGUAGAAUUCCAGGUGUAGCGGUGAAAUGCGUAGAGAUCUGGAGGAAUACCGAUGGCGAAGGCAGCCAUCUGGCCUAAUACUGACGCUGAGGUACGAAAGCAUGGGGAGCAAACAGGAUUAGAUACCCGCGUAGUCCCUGUCUCUUAUACA
RNAcentral lists this ribosomal RNA (301 nucleotides) under uncultured bacterium. RNAcentral's name for it is "partial 16S ribosomal RNA". It matches the Rfam family "Bacterial small subunit ribosomal RNA", at positions 509 to 808 of the family's 1533-position model. The record is from RNAcentral.